RNAcentral lists this ribosomal RNA (481 nucleotides) under uncultured bacterium. Its description in RNAcentral is "partial 16S ribosomal RNA". It matches the Rfam family "Bacterial small subunit ribosomal RNA", at positions 28 to 523 of the family's 1533-position model. The record is from RNAcentral.
GACGAACGCUGGCGGCGUGCUUAACACAUGCAAGUCGAGCGAUGAAUUUUCUUCGGAAAUGGAUUAGCGGCGAACGGGUGAGGAACACGUGAAGAAUCUGCCCUCCACUUUGGGAUAACACAGGGAAACCUGUGCUAAUACCGAAUAUUGAAACAUAAGUGGCAUCACUGAGUUUUGAAAGAAUUUCGGUGGAGGAUGACUUCGCGGCCUAUCAGCUAGUUGGUGAGGUAAUGGCUCAUCAAGGCAACGACGGGUAGCCGGCCUGAGAGGGCGACCGGCCACACUGGGACUGAGACACGGCCCAGACUCCUACGGGAGGCAGCAGUGGGGAAUAUUGGGCAAUGGAGGAAACUCUGACCCAGCGACGCCGCGUGCGGGAUGAAGGCCUUCGGGUUGUAAACCGCUUUCAGUAGGGAAGAAGCGAAAGUGACGGUACCUACAAAGGAAGCACCGGCUAACUAUGUGCCAGCCGCCGCCGUAA